UCAAAAAACUUACUACUAAUUAUCUGCAUCACUAUUAUGUGUCUGACUAGUUAAUUAAUUGCAUUAAUAGCUCGAUUUCAUAAUUGAUUUGGCGUGAAAAAUCCCUACUUAAAUAGAUUUAAUUAAUUACACGCAUAAUUAAUUGUCUACCAAUUAGUUGCAUUAAUGGCCCGAUUUCCAAAUUGAUUAUGUGCUCGGUUUUUUAUUUUCUUUGAACUAAUGAAUCAAUUUCAUAAUUGAUUUGGCGUGAAAAAUCCCUAAUUAAAUAGACUUAAUUAAUAGCACGCGUAGUUAAUUGUUUGCCUAUUCGUUGCAUUAAUGACUUGAUUUCCAAACUAACUUGAUGUGGGAUUUUUUACUUAAAUAUAUUUAAUUAAUUGCAUGUUAAUUAAUUGUCUCGCUAUUAAUUGCAUUAAUGAGUUGACUUUCAAAUUGAUUCGGUGCUUGGUUUCUUUAUUAUUUUUACAUUAAUACCUCGAUUUCAUAAUUGAUUCGGCGUGGAUAAAUCACAACUUAAGCAGACUUAAUUAAUUGCACACGUAGUUACUUGAUUUCUAAAUUUAUUCGGUGCUUGUUAUUAUUAUUAUUAUUAUUAUUAUUAUUAUUAUUAUUAUUAUUAUUAUUAUUAUUAUUAUUCUUGUUGUUGUUGUUGUUGUUGUUGUUGUUGUUGUUGUUGUUGCAUUAAAGGAUGGGUACCGACGACAUACAAACUCCCUUUUUAGGAGUAGAGAUUUUAGGAGUAGAGAAGAUUAAAAUCAUACCCUCUAUAUAAAACCUCGGCCAGAGGGGUCCAUGGCCAUUGCCUCUCAAUUCUCAUACUUCUUUUGAAUUCCAGAAGUUGAAGAUCAAACAUGAGAGGGAGAAGUCUGGUAUGCGUGGCUACUCUCUUGUUCGUCGGGUGCCUUGCUGUGGUGGGACAAUGUCGUCUUGAGGCUACAAGAAGCAACCAAGAACAUCCUCAUGCCAACAUAACGGCAAACGCUACCGCCGUGGAUUCAUCGCUGAAUGAAAGCAAAAUCACGUUGAAGUGGUGUGUGAGGAGGGACUGCGAUCGUCCAAAGGACCCGUUCGUCUGGAAAAACUGUUACUGCUGUGUCACGCAGCCGGGCAGUCCGUGUUGGCGUCAUGUGAAUGAAUGCCAAGCAAAUUGCCCAUCGUGUCAUCCUGAUUGCCUGUCUGCAUCAGCAAUCGAGCUACACGCAUAAAUGAAUGUAUGCGUACUUGCUUACAUAGAUAAAUGUGAUCGUUCGUUAGUAAUUUUACAAAGCUGGUCCGGGAAAGUCUUCCUCAAAUAAAGUACGUAGUGUGCUGCUCAUGACCUCAUUCAUGUACGCAAUAUAUAUUUCACUCUAGUCUAUCUAUCUGUAUA
Long non-coding RNA from Aegilops tauschii subsp. strangulata, 1369 nucleotides. RefSeq lists it as uncharacterized. NCBI's taxonomy places the organism in Eukaryota, Viridiplantae, Streptophyta, Magnoliopsida, Poales, Poaceae. The record is from RefSeq and is a predicted model, not a curated record.